GACGAACGCUGGCGGCGUGCUUAACACAUGCAAGUCGAACGGAAAGACCCUGCUUUUGUGGGGUGCUCGAGUGGCGAACGGGUGAGUAACACGUGAGUAACCUGCCCUUGACUUUGGGAUAACUUCAGGAAACUGGGGCUAAUACCGGAUAGGAGCUCCUGCUGCAUGGUGGGGGUUGGAAAGUUUCGGCGGUUGGGGAUGGACUCGCGGCUUAUCAGCUUGUUGGUGGGGUAGUGGCUUACCAAGGCUUUGACGGGUAGCCGGCCUGAGAGGGUGACCGGCCACAUUGGGACUGAGAUACGGCCCAGACUCCUACGGGAGGCAGCAGUGGGGAAUAUUGCACAAUGGGCGGAAGCCUGAGGCAGCAACGCCGCGUGCGGGAUGACGGCCUUCGGGUUGUAAACCGCUUUCGCCUGUGACGAAGCGUGAGUGACGGUAAUGGGGAAAGAAGCACCGGCUAACUACGU
Molecule: ribosomal RNA, 467 nt
Filed under: uncultured bacterium
Lineage: Bacteria
Description: partial 16S ribosomal RNA
Rfam family: Bacterial small subunit ribosomal RNA
Source: RNAcentral